Molecule: ribosomal RNA, 254 nt
Filed under: uncultured bacterium
Lineage: Bacteria
Description: partial 16S ribosomal RNA
Rfam family: Bacterial small subunit ribosomal RNA
Source: RNAcentral
UACAGAGGUGGCAAGCGUUGUUCGGAUUCAUUGGGUGUAAAGGGUGCGUAGGCGGUUAGGAAAGUCGGAUGUGAAAGCCUAGAGCUCAACUCUAGAAUUGCAUCUGAAACUUCCUGACUUGAGUGCGAGAGAGGUGAAGGGAAUUCCCGGUGUAAGGGUGAAAUCUGCAGAGAUCGGGAGGAACACCAGCAGCGAGGGCGCUUCACUGGCUCGUAACUGACGCUGAGUGCACGAAGGCGUGGGGAGCAAACGGG